UACAGAGGGUGCAAGCGUUGUUCGGAAUUAUUGGGCGUAAAGCGCGUGUAGGCGGCUUUGCAAGUCGGGUGUGAAAACCCUCAGCUUAACCGAGGAAGUGCGCCCGAAACUGCAGAGCUUGAGUGCCGGAGAGGAUAGCGGAACACCCGGUGUAGAGGUGAAAUUCGUAGAUAUCGGGUAGAACACCAGUGGCGAAGGCGGCUAUCUGGACGGACACUGACGCUGAGACGCGAAAGCGUGGGGAGCGAACAGG
RNAcentral lists this ribosomal RNA (253 nucleotides) under uncultured bacterium. RNAcentral's name for it is "partial 16S ribosomal RNA". It matches the Rfam family "Bacterial small subunit ribosomal RNA", at positions 524 to 776 of the family's 1533-position model. The record is from RNAcentral.